RNAcentral lists this ribosomal RNA (429 nucleotides) under Bacteroidota bacterium. RNAcentral's name for it is "Bacteroidetes bacterium partial 16S ribosomal RNA". It matches the Rfam family "Bacterial small subunit ribosomal RNA", at positions 355 to 776 of the family's 1533-position model. Lineage: Bacteria; Pseudomonadati; Bacteroidota. The record is from RNAcentral.
UAGGGAAUCUUCGGCAAUGGGGGGAACCCUGACCGAGCAACGCCGCGUGAGUGAAGAAGGUUUUCGGAUCGUAAAGCUCUGUUGUUAAGGAAGAACGAGUGUGAGAAUGGAAAGUUCAUACUGUGACGGUACUUAACCAGAAAGGGACGGCUAACUACGUGCCAGCAGCCGCGGUAAUACGUAGGUCCCGAGCGUUGUCCGGAUUUAUUGGGCGUAAAGCGAGCGCAGGCGGUUAGAUAAGUCUGAAGUUAAAGGCAGUGGCUCAACCAUUGUAGGCUUUGGAAACUGUUUAACUUGAGUGCGGAAGGGGAGAGUGGAAUUCCAUGUGUAGCGGUGAAAUGCGUAGAUAUAUGGAGGAACACCGGUGGCGAAAGCGGCUCUCUGGUCUGUAACUGACGCUGAGGCUCGAAAGCGUGGGGAGCGAACAGG